UUAUUGCUGGCUCAAGAUGCAUAUUAAUGCUUCUCCCCAGGAGAGAAAGGCUCUUAUGGGACCAAUAUAGGUCAGGCAGAAUGUGCAGCAGAAGUGACAUAAUCUUUUUAUUGUAAUCAUCCAAUUUUCUAUCUAUUGGAUUAUUUAAGAGCAAGAGCUUCUAUUCAGAGUAGUGUUAGGAGGGAAGAGGGAGCACAGUCUGAGGAGGAGGAGAAUGGAGAGUAAGAAUUCCCCACCAAUGGCUAAACCUCAGAAAUCUGAACGAGGAGCUGCUUCCAUGGGGUUUGUGUGGACAAAAGAAUGAGGGUGAGUUUUUGCAGGAUGUGGAACCCCUGGAAGUGCUGAGCAGAGCCCUCCUGCCAGAGGGACACAUGAAGGAAUGGGAGAUUCCUGAAUAUAUUUUGCCCAUCACUCCAUGCCCAGUGGUGCCUCUUGCACUGGUGGCAGAUCAGGAAACAAAGGUUCUUCCUCAGAAAUUAGGAACUUCAUUAUCCUAAACUGUUUGAAUACAUGUUCUCAGCAGUGUGGUGAAAAAGAAGCUUUAAAUAUAUUGUGUAAAAAGAUGACAUAAUUGGGAACGCAGCCACAUCAUUUUGAAGACCAAAUAAAAACCCUGCUGGAAAGCUUGCACUG
Non-coding RNA from Lonchura striata (white-rumped munia), 633 nucleotides. The record is from RefSeq and is a predicted model, not a curated record. NCBI's taxonomy places the organism in Eukaryota, Metazoa, Chordata, Aves, Passeriformes, Estrildidae.